UCGAACGCCCCUUCGGGGGAGUGGCAGACGGGUGAGUAACGCGUGGGAAUCUACCCAAUGGUACGGAAUAACGCAGGGAAACUUGUGCUAAUACCGUAUAAGCCCUUCGGGGGAAAGAUUUAUCGCCAUUGGACGAGCCCGCGUUGGAUUAGCUAGUUGGUGAGGUAAAGGCUCACCAAGGCGACGAUCCAUAGCUGGUCUGAGAGGAUGAUCAGCCACACUGGGACUGAGACACGGCCCAGACUCCUACGGGAGGCAGCAGUGGGGAAUAUUGGACAAUGGGCGAAAGCCUGAUCCAGCCAUGCCGCGUGGGUGAAGAAGGCCUUAGGGUUGUAAAUCCCUUUCAGCGGGGAAGAUAAUGACGGUACCCGCAGAAGAAGCCCCGGCUAACUCCGUGCCAGCAGCCGCGGUAAUACGGAGGGGGCUAGCGUUGUUCGGAAUUACUGGGCGUAAAGCGCACGUAGGCGGACUGUUUAGUCAGAGGUGAAAUCCCGGGGCUCAACCUCGGAAUUGCCUUUGAUACUGGCAGUCUUGAGUUCGAGAGAGGUGAGUGGAAUUCCGAGUGUAGAGGUGAAAUUCGUAGAUAUUCGGAGGAACACCAGUGGCGAAGGCGGCUCACUGGCUCGAUACUGACGC
RNAcentral lists this ribosomal RNA (636 nucleotides) under Microbaculum marinum. Its description in RNAcentral is "bacterial SSU rRNA". It matches the Rfam family "Bacterial small subunit ribosomal RNA", at positions 62 to 746 of the family's 1533-position model. Lineage: Bacteria; Pseudomonadati; Pseudomonadota; Alphaproteobacteria; Hyphomicrobiales; Tepidamorphaceae. The record is from RNAcentral.